GAUGAAGAACGUAGCGAAAUGCGAUACGUAAUGUGAAUUGCAGAAUUCAGUGAAUCAUCGAGUCUUUGAACGCACAUUGCGCCCCCUGGUAUUCCGGGGGGCAUGCCUGUCCGAGCGUCAUUGCUGCCCUCAAGCACGGCUUGUGUGUUGGGCCUCCGUCUUCCUCCCGGGGGACGGGCCCGAAAGGCAGCGGCGGCACCGCGUCCGGUCCUCGAGCGUAUGGGGCUUCGUCACCCGCUCUUGUAGGCCCGGCCGGCGCUUGCCGACACAUCAAUCUUUUUUCCAGGUUGACCUCGGAUCAGGUAGGGAUACCCGCUGAACUUAAGCAUAUCAAUAAGCGGAGGA
This 345-nucleotide unclassified non-coding RNA is filed under the name soil metagenome. RNAcentral's name for it is "partial contains 5.8S ribosomal RNA, internal transcribed spacer 2, and large subunit ribosomal RNA". The stretch from base 1 to 120 matches the Rfam family "5.8S ribosomal RNA", at positions 35 to 154 of the family's 154-position model. The record is from RNAcentral.